RNAcentral lists this microRNA precursor (58 nucleotides) under Monodelphis domestica (gray short-tailed opossum). RNAcentral describes it as "microRNA mdo-mir-12348 precursor". The record is from miRBase by way of RNAcentral. Lineage: Eukaryota; Metazoa; Chordata; Mammalia; Didelphimorphia; Didelphidae.
UUUCUAUCAAAAUCAUUAGUCUUUAUUCAGAAGAGAUCUGAUAGUUUUGAUAGGAAGG